ACAUGUGAGUGCAAUCUGACUGUGACAUCUGUCACCCAUUGAUCACCAGGUUUGAUUUGGCUGAUCUGGCUGGCUAGACGACUGUCUCCCUCCUCCAUCUCUGCUCCUUCCACAUUCUUCCUGAAACUGUGGGCUUGGUUGGAGAGGAUGACCUUCCCCACAGAAGGAGGAUGCUCCUUAGGUUAAGGGUAUACAAGUAGCUCUGCUCCCCUGCUGGGACCUCCAAACAAGCUCUCAAGGAAGUUGGCUUUUGGAAUGAUACAGUAAUAACUAACCAACCUCCCUGGCUUAUCACCCAAGCCAGUCCAG
RNAcentral lists this small nuclear RNA (309 nucleotides) under Echinops telfairi (small Madagascar hedgehog). RNAcentral describes it as "7SK RNA (ENSETEG00000024290.1)". It matches the Rfam family "7SK RNA". From Rfam's summary of the family: 7SK was discovered as an abundant small nuclear RNA in the mid-70s but a possible function has only recently been suggested. The record is from RNAcentral. Lineage: Eukaryota; Metazoa; Chordata; Mammalia; Afrosoricida; Tenrecidae.